CAUGUCCCAACACUGUAUUGAUAUUAUGUGUGGUAGAGUCUUUGUCGUACUAUUGUGGACUUUAGAUGGUUUGGUUGUUGGUUGGGUUGUUUAUACGCAUUUCACAAUAUCAUUAAUUCAAGUUCUCUUAUCCUUUGAUAUGUUUGAAAUUUAUCUGACAGGGGGGUAAGGUGGUUGAUGGUUUAGUUAUUGUAGGUUCUCUUUG
RNAcentral lists this long non-coding RNA (205 nucleotides) under Capsicum annuum. RNAcentral's name for it is "long non-coding RNA (CANN_LNC010030)". The record is from RNAcentral. Lineage: Eukaryota; Viridiplantae; Streptophyta; Magnoliopsida; Solanales; Solanaceae.